GCUGGCGUAGCUCAAUGGUAGAGCAGCUGAUUUGUAAUCAGCAGGUUGGGGGUUCAACUCCCUUCGCCAGCUCCA
Molecule: transfer RNA, 75 nt
Filed under: bacterium
Lineage: Bacteria
Also listed under: 3 other names
Description: tRNA-Thr
Rfam family: tRNA
About the family: Transfer RNA (tRNA) molecules are approximately 80 nucleotides in length. Their secondary structure includes four short double-helical elements and three loops (D, anti-codon, and T loops).
Source: RNAcentral